GUAUAAAACGAUAUACCACGUGGAUGUAGAUAGAGUAGAUGAUUAUUGAUGA
This 52-nucleotide non-coding RNA is filed under the name Trypanosoma lewisi. The record is from RNAcentral. Lineage: Eukaryota; Euglenozoa; Kinetoplastea; Trypanosomatida; Trypanosomatidae.